RNAcentral lists this transfer RNA (71 nucleotides) under Kouleothrix aurantiaca. It matches the Rfam family "tRNA". From Rfam's summary of the family: Transfer RNA (tRNA) molecules are approximately 80 nucleotides in length. Their secondary structure includes four short double-helical elements and three loops (D, anti-codon, and T loops). The record is from Rfam by way of RNAcentral. Lineage: Bacteria; Bacillati; Chloroflexota; Chloroflexia; Chloroflexales; Roseiflexaceae.
GCCCCGGUAGUGAAAUGGGAUCAUGGCUGCCUGUCGAGCAGCAGUACGGGGAUCGAAACCCCGUCGGGGCG